CUCGUUAUUUGUUGCUGGGAAUUCAAAGUGCAGUGAGUAUUCCAACUCUUCUUCAUUCGGACCUAUCAUUAUGAUCCCCGCCCCGGAUCCUUCGUCAUUUGAAGAUCCAUCGACAAAAAUUUUCCAAUCUGCCUGCUCCCCUGGUGGGAGCUCGGGCGGGGUGGUGAGCUCAACGAUGAAGUCUGCUAAAGCCUGUGCCUUAAUAGCUGUCCUUGGCCUGAAUUCGAUAUCAAACUCGCUUAACUCAAUGGCCCAUUUUAACAGCCUCCCAGAGGUCUCGGGCCGAUGUAGAAUCUGCUUGAUAGGUUGGUCAGUCAUUACUUGCACCGUGUGAGACUGAAAGUAAGGCCUCAAUUUC
RNAcentral lists this long non-coding RNA (358 nucleotides) under Olea europaea (common olive). RNAcentral's name for it is "long non-coding RNA (OEUR_LNC009537)". Lineage: Eukaryota; Viridiplantae; Streptophyta; Magnoliopsida; Lamiales; Oleaceae. The record is from RNAcentral.